CCUACGGGAGUCAGCAGUGGGGAAUAUUGGGCAAUGGGCGCAAGCCUGACCCAGCAACGCCGCGUGAAGGAAGAAGGCUUUCGGGUUGUAAACUUCUUUUGUCAGGGAAGAGUAGAAGACGGUACCUGACGAAUAAGCCACGGCUAACUACGUGCCAGCAGCCGCGGUAAUACGUAGGUGGCAAGCGUUGUCCGGAUUUACUGGGUGUAAAGGGCGUGUAGCCGGGUUGACAAGUCAGAUGUGAAAUCCUGCGGCUUAACCGCAGAACUGCAGUUGAAACUGUUGAUCUUGAGUAAUGGAGAGGCAGAUGGAAUUCCUAGUGUAGCGGUGAAAUGCGUAGAUAGUAGGAGGAACACCAGGGGCGAAGGCGGUCUGCUGGACAGCAACUGACGGUGAGGCGCGAAAGCGUGGGGAGCAAACAGGAUUAGAUACCCCAGUAGUC
RNAcentral lists this ribosomal RNA (442 nucleotides) under uncultured bacterium. Its description in RNAcentral is "partial 16S ribosomal RNA". It matches the Rfam family "Bacterial small subunit ribosomal RNA", at positions 338 to 795 of the family's 1533-position model. The record is from RNAcentral.